GAUGAACGCUGGCGGCGUGCCUAAUACAUGCAAGUCGAGCGAACGGAUGAGAAGCUUGCUUCUCUGAUGUUAGCGGCGGACGGGUGAGUAACACGUGGAUAACCUACCUAUAAGACUGGGAUAACUUCGGGAAACCGGAGCUAAUACCGGAUAAUAUUUUGAACCGCAUGGUUCAAAAGUGAAAGACGGUUUUGCUGUCACUUAUAGAUGGAUCCGCGCUGCAUUAGCUAGUUGGUAAGGUAACGGCUUACCAAGGCAACGAUGCGUAGCCGACCUGAGAGGGUGAUCGGCCAAACUGGAACUGAGACACGGUCCAGACUCCUACGGGAGGCAGCAGUAGGGAAUCUUCCGCAAUGGGCGAAAGCCUGACGGAGCAACGCCGCGUGAGUGAUGAAGGUCUUCGGAUCGUAAAACUCUGUUAUUAGGGAAGAACAUAUGUGUAAGUAACUAUGCACAUCUUGACGGUACCUAAUCAGAAAGCCACGGCUAACUACGUG
Molecule: ribosomal RNA, 497 nt
Filed under: uncultured bacterium
Lineage: Bacteria
Description: partial 16S ribosomal RNA
Rfam family: Bacterial small subunit ribosomal RNA
Source: RNAcentral